UUGACCCUCCCUUGGCGAAUAGAUACCCGGGAAGGUGCCCGGGGUUUCCCCUCGGCUUCCCGGACAUCUAAAGGCCUCUCCCCUAGUUUGGGAAUCCGGGUGGUUCUCCCGGGCGGGGAAGUUCGUUUCCUCCUCCCUUCCCCCUGCCCGCAGCAUUGGGGGAGACCCCGAGGCAUUCACCGUGGGCUUUUCCGCCCGCUCGAGUGCGGGAACCACCUCCAUAGUUUCCUCUCCCUGCCCUGCGCGGGGCGGGCCGGGCCUGCGAAGAAGACGCGGGGCCCUAAGGCGGGCAGGCGGCGGGCCGGAGCCGGGAAGCGCGGAGGCGGCGCUGGGCUGCGGCGGCCGAGGGGUUUCCCCACCACAGCCUCGGGCUCGGGGAGGCGGGAUCCCGCCAAGGCGGGGUCCCUGAGGGAGGAGAACGGCACCCGACAGCCGAGAUCGCCCUCCUGCCUGCCGAAGGAACAUUCCACUUCUCCCGGCGGGUCGACCCCCUUAUGGGAAUCCCCCGCACCCCACCCCACCCCCUCCCUCGUCAACGGAGCCUCCUCGGAGCCCGCCCCCCCCCCCCCACCUCCGGCCUUCCGGAGCCACCACCUGCCGCCAGGAGGCCAGGGCGAGAGGGAACGCAUCCUACAAAGCUAACAAAAAUAAGGAAUGGGGCCAGGCGUAAUGAGUGUGUGAGAAGCCGCCGGGGAAGUCAUCCUACUGGUUUUGAAGGCGCUUGACAUAAAUUCUAUUUUCACCUCGCACGGCGGAGCGCUGUAAGCAGCUCUCCAGAGCCCUUUGGGAUGUGUGCCACCCUCCAGACGUGUCCUCCUCGCUGGGUGGUUAACACCAGGGGUUUGAUGGGCUCAUGCUGCGUGAGCCCCUGCUUCCCGCUGCCUCCCAGGCGGGCCGGACGGGCAAGACCCUCCCCUGACGUUGCAUCUGCGAAGAGGCUGGACCAACCCAUGUCUCCUAUUGGGACCAUCAGGUGUACGUUCGGAGGAAAUGAGAGCACGGGCUGCUUGGAAAUCGGUCCCUAAGGCAGAUGAUGGUGAACCAGACGGAAGCUGAGCCCCGCCCGCUCCCGCCGCCCGCGCCCGGGCCGUGGUGCGUGACGCGGCGCGAGGGUGGCCGCCGCUGCACAAUGGCCCCGGCACCCGCCCCGCGCCGCCGCCGCCCGCCCGCCCGCCCGCCGGGGAAGGGAGCCACCUAGUGAGCGGUUGCUCUCCUCUCCGGUUCUUCCACCAGGAGAGCCCAGAGAUGGCGAUUUCCUAGGACUGCCUAUUACCCCAAACACCCUGCGCUUCUCUCCUGAAAUGUAUUGGCUAGAAUUUAAAAUGAUUUUAGCCAGAAUAAAACUUUUGUGAUGUAAAAUAAUCACCCCUUUGGUAAUCAUCAUCAUGAUCCCUUCUUUGUGGCCCCUAUCUCCAGGGAACGGCACAUGAGCAUGUAUUGUGACACUCCUGAUAAGCAACCUAGGAAAAUAUUACUCUCUCCUGAUUUUGGAAAUAAGGAGACUAGGAUAAAAAAAAAAAAAAAAAAAAAAAAGAUGACUCCUUGUCCCAGCCGGUUUGGCUCAGUGGAUAGAGAGUCGGCCUGGUUCGAUUCCCGUCAAGGGCAUAUGUCCGGGUUGCGGGCUCCAUCCCCAGUAGCGGGUGUGCAGGAGGCAGCCAAUCAAUGAUUCUCAUCACUGAUGUUUCUCUCUCUCUCUCCCUUUCUCUCUGAAAUCAAUGAAAAUAUAUAUUUUUUAAAAAGAUGAA
Molecule: long non-coding RNA, 1745 nt
Organism: Myotis daubentonii (Daubenton's bat)
Lineage: Eukaryota; Metazoa; Chordata; Mammalia; Chiroptera; Vespertilionidae
Exons: 2
Source: RefSeq, a predicted model, not a curated record